GGACAGCUGCUGAUUGGGUAGACUAUAACUGCUUCCAUCUGCACAGCAGGAAGGUUGCUGAUUCGAAUCUUGUUUACAGGUAGGUUCGAGCCAGUCAAGGGCAGCUUGGAAGCGGUGGGAGAGGAGCUUCCAGGGCUGAGGAUCAAGCUCCAGUUUAGAGGAAGAAUUCUGGCCCUGGGUAGUCUCAAGUGAAGGGAUGCUUCACCGAGAGAUGGAUAAGUGAGAGAGAUCUCCAUCCAUCAAAGACCUACAUCGAGUUUCAACACAGAAAGUGGGAGCUGGAAGAAGACCAUGGCACCAACAAAUGGGGUUAGACUACUAUCAACAAAAGCCAACGCAGGAACCUGGAGGCAGUAACUGAAGCAGAGAUCACAGAAGAGCUGCUUGCUGGCUCACUUCCAGUUCCCCCAACUCCUACCCCGCAUCUCCCUACCACCAAUCAGCUACCUAUCUAUCAUAUAAAUCCCAGCCCACUUGUACAGGGAUGGUAUCGCCCACAGUGGGCCGGGGCCUUCUACCUUACUGAGCAAUCAUGAAAAUGCCCCAUGAACAUGCCCACAGGUGACUCUGAUGAAGGCAGUUCCUCAGCUGAGGUUCCUCUUGCCAGGUAUGUGAAGCUGGCAGCUGAAGCUAAUAUGACAGGGAUUGGGUGUGUGAUGAGGAAAGUAUCUUGUAAGACUGUGUUCUGAGUGUUAGAAGGUGCUCACCAUGAUUAAUGCUAGUGGACAAGGAUGGAGGAAGAGGAGUUCCUGUCCAGGAGGCACAGGAUCCCAUCGCCAUCACACAAUAGCACGUGUGUGGAGAGAACACAUUGCUGGGUAUGGAAAAGAGCUCUGUUGCCUCUGAUGAUGUUACAAAGAGGGAAGAGGCAAGAAACAUACACACAGCAGCUGCUAUGAGGGCCGUUCACUCAGUCAAUACAAGAGGCAGAGACCUGAACUAGCUAACCUGGUCUGUCUCGCCAUGUGACCAGCUCAGUCCUAUUAUGAUAGAGUAAGAAGCCUUCACCAAAUGGGAGAGUGAUGUUCUUUCACACACACACACACACACACACACACACACACACACACACACACACACACAGCCUCCAGAACCAUGGCCAAAUAAAUCUCUCAGUUAGUUUCACACUACUGCCUUGAAACGUGUGAGAUGUUAACUCCUAAGUGAGAAGCUUUAUCAUGGCUUGCAGAGUGCAGUCCAACUGCAGACUCACCGCUUCAGGUCUCUGUUGGGGUGCCAGGUGUCAGUGGUAGGAGACACAUGAGAGCGAAAAUGGAUUAUCUCAUUGUCAGAGAAAAUAUUCCCAGAAUCCCUUGUAAGAGCUGCCCCAAAACCUCCAACUCAGCUUUGCCUCUUGGAGAUUCCACCAUCUCCCAAGAGUGCUACCCUAGGACCAAACCUUUUACUAAGUGGGCUUUCAGGGACACUUAUCCAAACACUGAACCUGUACUCUUUAUAAAUUAUCUGUUGUCAAGCAACAAAAAAUACACAAGCUAGCUGAGUGUUUUGGUCAAACUGUCUUGAACCCUUGUUAACUACCCAGGCUAUAAUAUAGGAAUGCUAUAGCUAGAGCUAUAAUAGAUGCUCUCUCCCUUUCUGCCUCUUUCUAAGCCCCACAGUACAGGUACCCACAAUUCUGAAGUGUGGCUACAGGCUCAAUUUUGUGAGGAAUUCUCUGAGGAGUGCUUACGUUUCCAAUGGUCUUAUAACAAGGUCAUCUUGCUCAGUGGUGUCUAGAACUAUUGUCCUAUGCAUGAAUGCCUAUUCUGGUAACUGUCUAGCAUUCCAUUUCUCCAGACUCUGAGUCCUUUUGGCUGGUACUACGUGCCUGUCUCCACCUAGACCUUUGCCAACCGGUUAUGAGACACACAAUGCCUCCAUUCUAGCUUUAUUACAGGUGUGGUCUCCCAUCACCAGCCCAGAACUUAUCACCUUCCAUAUUCUAGAGUUCCUACAAGGCCUGGGGUCUCUUUGUCUAUCUUUGGAAAUAAGUGAUGUUCAAGGUCUAGUGACAGAAACCUCUAUCUAGGGAGUGACAUACAGAAGCUAGGAAGGAACAGUCUGAGAUGCUCCGAUGACCACAGCCACUUCCCCAAAAGACUUGUAUUCUCAAAAGAAAAAAAAAAUGGAGGGGAACACCUAAAGACUAAGAAACCCUGAUGGCACGAGGCACUAGAAACCACAUCCCGGAGUCAAGUUUGAAUCCCCUUCUCUUCGAUCUUUGUAUUUGGUCUUGUGGACACGGUAUGUUGCUGGAGCCAAGAUGAGACAGACCACAGAGAUGCUUGCUCACCUGAGCUGGCAUCAGAGGUCUGCAUAUGCUGCACUAACUCAUCUAUUGUUCAAUCUUCUGUUUGUUUAGCAAGGACUAGCUAGGUGAGCUGCCAUGCUGCCGGACAGGUCUGGUUAACUGCGGGAGGAGUGUUCCAAUCUUUAUUAAAGUAUGUUUUGAAAAGUCUAAGCCAACAGAUUCCAUCCUGGGCUUUCUCCUUACCCCUUGGCAGUUACCAAAGUGUCAUUUCCUGCUCUCUGGGGGCAUUCUGCUUUCCCAUCACCAUUCCAUCUGAAACUGCCACUCUUGUCCCCUCAUGAGCAUGCCUGGUUGUCCUCUCUCCUGUGCAGAGCUGACUUCUGCCCACAGUCCUCCAAGUUCAGUGAGUGGGGUGUCGUUACUCACUGGCAUUUAUAAUCACUCACUUCCUUUUACUUUCCUGACUUAUCUCUCCCUCUCUUUGAAGACUUUCAAUGUCCUUGUGAGGAGUGGAACUUAACCUUUUCUCAGGCUGUUCAAUUACACCGUAUUUUGUAAAUCAUCACAGACCUUCCCGAUGACAAAGGCCUCACUGUGUGUGCAGGUUCUGAUAUCUUCAGCUAUGAACAGGUUCCUAGUAAUUACCCCAGUGUGCUGGGCACUCUUGCAUGAAGAAAAGGGACGUCCCUUUCCCACAGCUUAUCAUGACUUGGGCCUCACCUCUUACUGCCAUUGUCCCUGAGAGUUUAAAGGAGACAACAUUCCCAACAGAGCUGACAUUUUAUCUUAUUAUUUCUCAAUCUUGGUCAUAGCUUCCCUUCAAACUGGUAGUCUCUUAGAAUUACCUUAAGAAAUCUUGGGGUGCCAGAAAAAUUCAGUUUAAAAAGCAAAGUGCUAUCUAUUACUGUGUUAUCAAGCUGGUAGUACUUUCAGAAUAAACUUAAACUUCUACAAAUCACAAAGCCACACAAGUGGUAGUCUUUUUGUGAAAUGGGAUCAAAUGACUGCAUUAAUUCACGGUCUCUAAUUUCUCAGGUCAGAUAGCCACUCUUACUCUACCCUUCGUCUCUCAUAACACCCAGAGCCUCACAGUGGCCAAGAAAAAGAAACUGGCUAAGGCUGAGCCUAGAGUUGGUCUAUUACAGUUUAGGAAGCAACCAGAAGAUCUCGACUGGUGUUAGCAGCUUAUAACAGUAGUGCAGAUUCAAGGACAGUUCUCCCUGGCUUCGCAGUGCUGAGAUUUGGGGAUGGGGUGGGGGUUGUUCCCAUCCCUCAGUGGUGGCCUUGUCAGCAAUGGGCAGGAAAAUAAACUCUCUCAUGGUUGUGAUGGCACAGUGGCGAGUGCCUGUAGCCACUGAGGGACGGGGAUGCUGACCUUCAGCAGUUUGCUUUUUCUGUUCUAUUCAGUCUAGAACCUCAGCCUGCUCAAUGGUGUCUCCGCAUUUAGGGUGGGCCUUCCCACUUCAGUUAGUCAAGCUUUUUAGGAUGCCUUAGACAUUCUGGAGAUUCUAGAGCCUGUCAUGUUAACAGUAAUCACAACCUGAAUGUUAGUAACCAGUCAUGGGGUGGUCAUUCUGAUGAUCUAAAAUAAACCUGUAUUGAGGUUACUUUAUUAUUAACAUGGUAAAAAUAAAAAUAUCAAAAAUCUAAAAUUCAUAAAGCUGAGGAUGUGGCUCAGUGGGUUCAGAUCCUCAGCCACACAUAGAAGCAAAGCAUGGGGACAUAAAUGUCUAUUCUCAGAGCUGAAGGCAUGAUGAUCCUGUAAGCUUACUGACUGACCAGACAGGCUAGCCGAAAUGACAAGCUCAAAGUUCAGAGAGUGACCCUGUCUCAAAAACUAAGGUGACAGGCUUGGAAGAUGACUCAGUUGGUAAGGGUGCUGACUGCAAGAAAGAGUAGAAGGAACUGAGUUUGAAUCCCAACUCUUAAAAAGCUAGGCAUGGCUGGAGUUAUCUGUGACCCUGGGCCACUGGGGCAGAGACAAACAGGCAGGUCACUGGGGUCGAGUCUAGCUCCAGGUUCACUUAGAGAGUCUAUCUCGAUGGGAUACCUCAGAGAGCAACAGAGCAGAGCAACGAUUCCCAUCCUUUUGUCUCCAUGUGCAGAUAUGUGAGCAUGCACCCUGCAUGUAUGUGAACAUGCAUGCCUGCACAUACACAAACAUGAUCACCAUACAUAGUCCCAUACAGAUAUAUAAAAAUAUACAUAAGGUGUAGAACAAUAGAAGACACCGACAUCCACCUCUGAGUUUCACAGAUGCACACACAGUAAGCACAGUCACAUAAGCACACACACAUGUACACACCACACACACAUACAACACAAACACACUGGAAAAAAAUUGCUGGGAGUUUGAGACUAAUCUGUGUGUCAGGACCUAGUAUGUAAAACUGGCUCCUAAGUAGCUGGCUAUAACUGGUUUAUAAGGAUAUGCGCACCUCCAUUCACUGCCCCAAAGGAGGCUUUCCCCAUGGACCUGAUUUUCUAGUCCCCGAGAGCUCAGACUCUGGCUCCUGAGUUGACCUUUCCCUGGCAUCCAUUGCAGCCCAUAGCUGGAGGUAGCGAGCGUGGGGCAGGCAGUAUCCCUGUGGCCCACUCCUCAACUCUCAAAUCCUUGCCUGGCACAGAUGAAGCUACCCAUGAUGGGAGGGCCUGUAGGCAACCCAUGAUGGCAUCGUCUCAAUUUUGAACAAUUAACAAUCUCCUCACGGGGCACAUAUUUCAGUGUGCGCUUCAAAACCUCUCACUACGCCUUAACAAAGCCCGAGACACUGAUGCCAGUAUCCAACAGCUGCAGUCCUGAUGAAUCCAGUCUCUCCAGCAUAGACGAUGCAUAUAAUUUUGGAUCCUCAGUGAAUAUCAUGUGAUAAGCAUGCAACAUCUGUCUGCCUAUGAGUAAAUGGAUACAUGAAUGGCUGAGUGAUGAAUUGGUCAAAAUGCAAAAUUAGUGCCUAUUAAAGUAAUUCAUGGUGGUGGGUUCUAUCUGAGGACUUGGCCUGUCUGUCUCCAACAUCUUUAAUCUUUAAUUGUACUGAAGCAAGAUUACCUUUUCCUAAUUAAAACCUUUCUCUAUAGAACGUGUUUUGCUUGUUCGUUUGUUUGUUUUUAAGCCUUUUGUCUAAGCUAGGCAUGUGGCACACCUAUAGUUUCAGCACCUGGGGACCAAGAUGAAGAGUUCAAGGACAGCCUGGGACAGAGGCUAGACCUUGUCACAAUAAAAAAAUAAAUUAAAUUUAAAAGUAUGUAAAGGGGAGAUGUGGGUUCAGUGUUUCUCUCAGUGACAACGCUCUCGUCCAGCUCACAAAAGCCUCUGGGGAAAAAAAAAUAAAAGCAAUAACAGAACAGGAAAACAAAAAUCUAGUUUCUGGACGGGCAAGAUGGCUCAGUGGCUUCUGAUCAUGCAAAGGACCUGAGUUCGGCUCCCAACACCCACAUCAAGUGGCUCAAAACCAUGUGUUUAUGCCAACUUCAGGAAGCUCUGAUGCCUCUGGCCUCUUUGGGCACCUGUACUCCUGUGAACACACCCAUAUAAUAUACAUAAUUGAUAACGGAACAUUUAUUUUAAAGUUUGAUUUCCAUGCAGUUAUUUUAAAGCUUUUUUUUUUUUUUUUAAUUGCAAAGGAUUUGACGUGUGACCCAAGGAGUGAUUUUGGUAUCUGGCCUAUUGCCAAGGCAAAAGCUAAAGCGAGAAGUUCCCAUUAGCCUGAAAGCUAACAGGAAUGUAAACGCUGUUCUAGCAAAGGCAGUGUGCACGGUAAGGGCACUGGCUGCAGACCUCACACAUUCCUUAGACUGUGCUCAACAUCACCAGAAAUGCUGGCCACAGUUCAACUGAGAGAAGAAACACCCUUCUCUCUUGUUCAAGCAACGCUCCCACUGUAUAGAGAAAUUACUUACAUUACCUUAAAGAGGGGUGUGCGUGCUAACAAAGCUUUUAAUUAGUUAAUUUCCAACAGAUAUUUGAGAAAAUAUAGAAAUGCACUUCCUGUUAUAAAAUUACAUAGACUGUAAAUCCAUUUCUAGUGGUUCUGGGGAAUGUGGGAGAUCUUUCUUUUUUUUUUUUUUUUUUUUUUCCAUUUUUUAUUAGGUAUUUCGCUCAUUUAUAUUUGCAAUGCUAUACCAAAAGUCCCCCAUAGCCACCCACCCCCUCUCCCCUACCCACCCACUCCCCUUUUAUGGCCCUGGCGUUCCCCUGUACUGGGGCAUAUAAAGUUUGCGUGUCCAAUGGGCCUCUCUUUCCAGUGAUGGCCGACUAGGCCAUCUUUUGAUGCAUAUGCAGCUAGAGUCAAGAGCUCCGGGGUACUGGUUAGUUCAUAAUGUUGUUCCACCUAUAGGGUUGCAGAUCCCUUUAGCUUCUUUGGUACUUUCUCUAGCUCCUUCAUUGGGGGCCAUGUGAUCCAUCCAAUAGCCGACUGUGAGCAUCCACUUCUAUGUUUGCUAGGCCCAGGCAUACUCUGACAAGAGACAGCUAUAUCAGGGUCCUUUCAGCAUAAUCUUGCUAGUGUAUGCAAUGGUGUCAGCAUUUGGAAGCUGAUUAUGGGAUGGAUCCCCGGAUAUGGUAGUGUCUACAUGGUCCAUCCUUUUAUCUCAACUCCAAACUUUGUCUCUGUAACUCCUUCCAAGGGUGUUUUGCUUGUAUGUGGGAGAUCUUUCCGGGAAGGGAUCCGGUUCCUUUUCUAUCCUUAACUCUUCCUGUUCUGGGAUUUUACCUACUGUGUAACCUCAUCACUACAGAACUGCUUAAUUGGUUAAUCUGCCUCACAGCCCACAUUUCACAUUUCACGUAACAACAGAAUAAAGGCGACUGACUGGGCUUUGAAAUGCAAACUUCCCCUGGAAACAAUGUGGGGAAGAGGUGGUUAGCUAACAUGGGUAGAGUCAAUCUCCUCACCAGGCUCUUGGUUUUCAAAAUAGAAUAAAGAAUACGGAUGCAAAAGUACUGCCUUCCUCUGUAGAUUCUCCAUGGCUCUGCUGUCACUCAGGAUCAGCAAGCACUGUGUGUGUGCUUGAAGGGAUACCAUGACCAGUAUACCAAUACUCUCUGCUGUCUCCGUGGGCCCAAGGCCAGAAGUAUUAGGAAAUGGUAGAGGUGCUUACCCACAUAUGGAUGGAUUACAGCUCGUAAGCAGAAAAAAAAGCUUAACCCAUGGGCUAGUUAGUUCUCCAUCUCUAUGACAAAACGCCUGGAAAAUCAGAUUAUGAGAAGACACCUGGGAAGUUAGUGUCUAAGGAGGGAGGGUUCAUCGUGGGUCACAGCUGAAGAUGGUCAGUGUGUUUUGCUCAUCCUGGUUGCCUUUGAACUUCGGCUGACACAGCCCUUCUUGGUCAAGAGUGUGGGAGAUGAAAACUCCUCCCUUCACAGAGGCAGGAAAGGAGGUAGAGGGGAAGAUAGACAGAGACAGAGAGACUGAGAGACCUAGACCAGAUCCCAGUACACCCUUUCAAGGGCACGCCUCCGCUGACCUAACUUCCUUCACUAGGUGCUGCUUCUUUUCUGAAGAUCGUUAUAACGAAUCAAUUAAGCCUGUAUGCAGUGCUUGAUCACAUUUACCGCUUCACGGCUCUUUUCCUUACUCGCUGACCUUUUUUAUUUUUUGGUUUUUCGAGACAGUUUCUCUGUGUAGCCCUGGCUGUCCUGGAACUCACUCUGUAGACCAGGCUAACCUCGAACUCAGAAAUCUGCCUGACUCUGCCUCCCGAGUGCUGGGAUUAAAGGCGUGCACCACCAUGCCCGGCUCUGACCCUUUUUCUAAAUAAACCUACUUUUAUGUCUGUUGAUUCGUUAUUCUUGAUAUUUUGUUUUGUUUGUUGGUCUCUGUGUGUGAACCAAUGAUUUUAAUUUGGAUGACUAAAACUAGAGAGCAUGGUAGGUCCCACUUUUUAAAACCCAGUGACAUAGGCUGGCAAGGAAGCCUUUAGCACAUAGGCCUUUGGGGGACUUUAACUGCAAGCCUUAGCAACCCUCAUUUUUUUCCUCCCCAGAAAUUCACAGAGCUUUAGCCUACUCUCUCAAGACACUGAAAAGCUUUUGUUUGAUACAAUUGCUAGACCCAGGAACCCACCCGAGCAGCUUUUUCUCAUUGGUCUGCACUGAGGCCUUAAGGCCUCUACUUACACAGCCUGGUGUGUGUAGAUGGAGACUCUUUAGAUUAAAGGUACCUGGCGAGAAGAAGCCAUUCACCUUCAAGCAAGACAAAUGGAGUAUCACUUAAAACGUCCUAUGGCAGCCUGACAUGAGGCUGGUGGCAAUGUCCAUGAGACAUCAAGAAAGGAACAUCUAUACACCAAAGGCACAAUGCACAAAACAGGGCACGGGGAUAUCUGAACACCAGAGAAAGCAGAUAUGAGUCACAGAUACUCCUCUGCCCCAACGAGGAUCAAUGAAGACAGACCUUCCUAUGUAAACCUGAGGUCUGCUUAGGACAUCCUUGGAGCCUCUCUAUUCUAAGCAACCAGUCCAACAGUGCUGGCUUGCCAUUGAUGAACUCAGUUUAAAUGAUGUCUGCCUUUUAUACAGGGAUCUGGUACGUGGACUCGUGUGCGCUCUCUCCUUCCCCCACCUCUCUGAUUACACACACGGUUAUUAUGGUCAUGGAGCCCUUGGCACCAGCUUUGAGGCUCUGCAGAUCCAGGGGUGGGGAGAAUAGGGUGGAUGAGGACUCUGGGUAGAUUCUCUAGGCUCACAGAACAAUCACCGUCAGCAUUCACUGGCUGAGACACUACAGACUCUGUCCCAUCCCAUACUACACAGGGAUAACAGUUAUUACAAACUGCCGCCUUUCUUGCUGAAUGAACACUUGGGCUAAAAUCCUGUGCAACCGCAUAGUGACAAGAAUAAACACACCCAAAAACCCAAAAGUCCUCUGGAGUCCUUCAGAGCACUCUGACUCACAACUCGGAGAUCACAAAAAAUCCCUAUAGUUACUCCUUUCCCCUCUCCCUGUAUUGUCUCAAACAGCUGGAACCUCUUCAUAUCCCACCUUACCUGACUCACUAGCUCUGCUUCCAGCUUCCGCUUCUAAGGGACAAGGGACACAACAAUAUCCAGAGCUGUGACUGCACUUCCUGCUUGCUGUUCUUUCUUUCUCUGUAACUCCUCACAGUCAGGAGUAGGUUCCCAGCACUUUGCAUUUAUAAAUGUAAACAACUCUAGCGUAUAGGCCCUCUUAAGUUGUCUUUUGUCAAAUGAAGAGCUGGAAGCUGGGACACUGAGCGUUCUCCUCCAGUCCUAAGCUGGUCCACUUCUCUGAGCACUGUAUGCAUUCAUGGAGCUACCUGGACAGACGUCAGGCGGCAGUGAAAUCUACGCUGGAACCUCUUGGGUGUCUGCACUGCCUGCUGGCACAAUUCAGCAAGGAGGCCAGGGCUGGACUUGCGGCUGCAGCUCCAAAGCCAUAAUCACCAGACUGCUGUCCCCUGAGGCAAUGCCAGCAGAAACUAUAAUUUCAGCAGAACCCUGAUAAGCAUAUGAAUAAUGUAUAUGAUGUAAUGGGCUUUGAGUUAUUAGAGGGAAAUGGGGUUAGGACAGAUAGAUUAGACCUUAAUAUUUGCAGCUGACUUCCAGGACACAAGUCUUCAUGGGCAGUUGCCUGUCCUUGUCAAAGGCCCAUCACAGGCUUUCUUUGGAGAGAAAGCUGAACACUAACUAUCUUUGUACUGCUGCAGACAUGCUUGUAUUGGAAGAUAUGUCGUCCCUGAGUGGUAAGACACUAAGGUAUCUAUCUCAGCCUACUGUAAGACUUUGGAGAAAUCAGGACACCUUUACCAAUUAGGACACUUCCUGUUCACUUCUGCUCCUCCAGGCCUAAAUAAAGCCUGUUCUGUUCUCAUUAAGGCCUGACUUAAUUACCUAAAAUAAAAUCAGGACUUAGUGCAGUACCAUCAGUUACACUAUACCAGUCAAAACAUCAUCCAACCAGCUCUGUGAAUUAUGCAUCACAGUGGCACUGUGAAUGACAGCCACCUCCAUUGGACAUGGACUCACACUUAACCUGGUCCUGAUCAGUCCUCAUUAUCGUCUUACAGAGCAGUUUCUACUUAGCAUCUCAUAUUCUUAGAGACUAAAAGCACUGCUCAGAAUAGAAGCAUACUUCUGUAGUCGAAAGCUAAACAUUUACCUAAGGUGGAAUAAUUCAAGCUCAUGCGGUCAUUCGAAACAUUUGAGGGCAGGAGUCUUGCUGUGUAGUAAAAAAAAAUAUUCCUAAGCAUUUAACAUUUUAUCAAACUGAUGUUUACAAAGCACCCCCUCUCCUCUCCUAAUCUCCCCACUCCUGUUCUCCUUCAAACAAUUAUUUGAUUUUUAAAUGCCAGGAGUUAAUAACACCCAGGUACUAAUCCUUCCUUUACUUAUUGGCUGUCAAGACCAAACCUGCCCAGGAAAAACAAGUCUUUCCAGAAAAAUCUCUAGAGGGAGAUAUUUUCUGGGGAGGACUGAACUUCGAUGAUGCCUAUUCAUUUCAGAAACGACCUUAUGAAAUGAGUCUGUGCAAUAUUAGCUUCUUACUGCCUGUGUUUACACACUCAUUUUCCUAAAGCCAUCUCGUCCUGCCUGCACCUAUCCAGGUGAGACAAAGUCUCCAGAUUACAGCUGGUGGCUUUCUCUCCAUUUCCAUACUUGACAAGGCACUCAGAAUGCCAAGGAACACAGUAUGUCGAACGGGUGCCUGGAAUUGUCUGUGCCUUCUGUUUAGUUCUAUGUGUGACUUAGAGAUCAUGCUUUAUACUCUGCAAAGACAGACCCAAUAGUCCCUCUGCUUUGUGAGAUUAAGAACAAAGGCCAGGACAUUUACCAUGAGAGCCAAUGCUUUCCUGUCUCCUUUUCUUCCCUUCUGCCCUCUACCUUCCUUCGGGACCUAGUGAAAGUCUGCCACUGAUGAGCAAGGCCGCUCCAUUUGCACACUGACCACGCUGGCUCCGUGAUGUCACAGAGCUUAGUGGAAUUUGGAAGAGGGACUAUGAAGGGAUGUGGAAAUAGAAGAUGCACUGCUAAGACAGAUGCUUGAUUCUGACACCGUUUUCAACAAGACUGGUGCUUUUUUUACUCCUUUCAAAGAUGGGUGUCCUCUACAAGGCUGUCUACUUUCCUAAGCUUUUGUUCCCCUGAAGGUGUGUGUGUGUUGGAGGUGGGGUGCUGUAUAUGUGGAUGCAUAUGUCUGUGUGCUCCCAGAGGCCAGAGAAAAAUACUAUCUCCACUCUGUGUAAGCACUAUGGGACCUCUAAAACAAAGGUCUAGUUCAUGAGAGUAAGGAAUAAGAAAAGAUGCUUCCUCAAGGACUUUAUAAUAGUCAGUGCUCAAAAUACUGUACAGAAAGUUGACCAUAAGCAUCAGAACAGUAAAGACCCAGUGGCCUUUACAGGAGUACCUGCUCAAGUGUACUCAGCUAAAACAUGGGAUUAUAAACAGUCCCUGUGACAAACUAAAAGACCAGCAAACGAGGGUGCAAGGUGUGAGAUUUUUUGGUCACCAACAGUUUUUUUUUUAACUUAAUUUAACUUGUGUGUGUGUGUGUGUGUGUGUGUGUGUGUGUGUGUGUGUGUGUGUGUGUAUGCACGUGUGCACGCAUGGGUAUGUGCACAUGUGUGCAGAUGCCCUAGGAGGCCAGAAGAGAAUGUUGGAUUCCUUGAAGGUGAAGUUACAGGAGGUUGUGAGCCACCUUAUGUGGGAAUAGGAGUUGAACUUGCAGCUAUGAAGUAUAUCAAGAGUUCUUACCUGCUGAGCCAUUUCUCCAGAACCUUCAACCAAUGUUUUUAUUGGCCCUAAGGAAGGGGAAGGGAUCCCAAGCCAUUAUAAAUAUGUCCACGAAGCACACAAGCAGAGGUCCUGAAAUGUGAAGAUGUCAUGGACAGGUCAUGUGGGCAAAUACCCACUCUGCAACUGAGAUGACAGUGAGCAGAUUAUAGAGCUCUGAGAAGGAUGGUCUGUAGGCUUAUUACUUUAUAAAAACAAAACAGCAUGACACCCUAUGGGGAUGGUUCAGGAUCCUCUGUCAAGUGGGCUGAGGAAAGGGGAAAAUGUAUUUAGCCAGGGAGUAGGGAGGGGAAGGAGGCUGUCUUAGGUAAAGGCCAGAGGGCAAGUCUUCCUAAGAUGACAGGUUACAACUCAGACCUACUUGAGAAGCUGGAGGUAGUCUGGUUGCAAGCACAGACUCACAAGGGGAUCUGCUGUUCUUUCUCCAGAGGACUAACCUCCAAAAACUUUAAGUAGGGAAUGUGGGCCUUCAGCACAGGCUGCCUUGUAGAGCCACACAAGUCACAGAGAUGUAACUCACAGACAGUCACUAGUCAAUAACAACUGUACGAGGUAAGGUGCAGCAUCUCUUAACCAGUCUCCUAAUUUGCAUACUCAAGGCUUCACCUUUGAGGCCUGAACUGGCUUAGCCCCCUUGCUGGCCUUCCCAGGCUCCGACCCCACUCCUUUUUCCUCUCCCUGUUUAGCCUCUUCCCUUCUGAUAUCAGUCAAAGCUAAGCACACAAACUCAACGGAUGCUUGCUGCUAGCACAUACUUUUUCUGAGCACUUAGCUUCCUUACUGGUCACAGAAGGAAUAUCAAACCUCUUGGGUUGUUACAAUUUUGAAAUUAGUGGAUCUAUGGAAAGAUCUCAGCAGAAGGCCAGACCCACAGGACUUAUAUAAAUGUUAUAUCCUCCUCCCUUAAGCUUCUGUAAGAGUAGUUAAAAAAUAGCGAUACAAUCAUAGACUAAUGAAAACAGACAGCUACAGUAACAGUGUUAAAUUUUAGCUUUAGAUGACUUAGAUGCAAAGAUUUAUUACAAAGAUGCUUCUAGAAA
Molecule: long non-coding RNA, 13039 nt
Organism: Mus musculus (house mouse)
Lineage: Eukaryota; Metazoa; Chordata; Mammalia; Rodentia; Muridae
Product: predicted gene, 53444
Exons: 3
Source: RefSeq, a predicted model, not a curated record